GAUGAACGCUGGCGGCGUGCCUAAUACAUGCAAGUCGAGCGAACAGACGAGGAGCUUGCUCCUCUGACGUUAGCGGCGGACGGGUGAGUAACACGUGGAUAACCUACCUAUAAGACUGGGAUAACUUCGGGAAACCGGAGCUAAUACCGGAUAAUAUAUUGAACCGCAUGGUUCAAUAGUGAAAGACGGUUUUGCUGUCACUUAUAGAUGGAUCCGCGCCGCAUUAGCUAGUUGGUAAGGUAACGGCUUACCAAGGCAACGAUGCGUAGCCGACCUGAGAGGCUGAUCGCCCACACUGGAACUGAGACACGGUCCAGACUCCUGCGGGAGGCAGCAGUAGGGAAUCUUCCGCAAUGGGCGAAAGCCUGACGGAGCAACGCCGCGUGAGUGAUGAAGGUCUUCGGAUCGUAAAACUCUGUUAUUAGGGAAGAACCAAUGUGUAAGUAACUAUGCACGUCUUGACGGUACCUAAUCAGAAAGCCACGGCUAACUACGUG
This 497-nucleotide ribosomal RNA is filed under the name uncultured bacterium. RNAcentral's name for it is "partial 16S ribosomal RNA". It matches the Rfam family "Bacterial small subunit ribosomal RNA", at positions 28 to 507 of the family's 1533-position model. The record is from RNAcentral.